RNAcentral lists this ribosomal RNA (208 nucleotides) under uncultured bacterium. RNAcentral's name for it is "partial 16S ribosomal RNA". It matches the Rfam family "Bacterial small subunit ribosomal RNA", at positions 568 to 774 of the family's 1533-position model. The record is from RNAcentral.
CUCGUAGGCGGUUCGGUAAGUCGGGUGUGAAAAUCCAAGGCUCAACCUUGGGACGCCACCCGAUACUGCUGUGACUAGAGUCCGGUAGAGGAGUGUGGAAUUCCUGGUGUAGCGGUGAAAUGCGCAGAUAUCAGGAGGAACACCUGCGGCGAAGGCGGCACUCUGGGCCGGUACUGACGCUGAGGAGCGAAAGCAUGGGGAGCAAACA